Molecule: non-coding RNA, 775 nt
Filed under: Fasciolopsis buskii
Lineage: Eukaryota; Metazoa; Platyhelminthes; Trematoda; Plagiorchiida; Fasciolidae
Source: RNAcentral
UUAAUCUAUUUAACUCUGGUUGUGGAAGAUAUGAAAGCAGGUUUACAUAAGAUUGUUAUUUUUUUGGUUUUGCAUAUGAAGGUUGUGUGCUAUUAUCUUAGUAACUAAAAUUUUAAGAUGGGGGAAACCCCGAUUGGGCUGUUUUUGUGAAAGUGGUGGAUUCUCAGUGCCAGCAUCCGCGGUUAUUCUGUUAGCUUUUAUCUUCUUUUGUUGUUGGUAUAAAAUGUUUAGAAUUUAGGGUUUGUCAGAAUUGGGUAGAAUUUUUCUGGAGUUGAAAUAAGAUUUUAAGGAUUUUCUGAGCUUACUAUUAUAAAAGGGGAUUAGAUACCCCCGUAUAUGUAUGAUUUGACUUUGUGUCCAUAGUAUAAACUAAAAGGGUUUGGCAGCUGGUAAAAUUCUACCGGGGGAACGUGUGUCGUAAUAGAUAGUCCGCUUAGUAUUUAACCUUGAUUAUGUUUGUUAGUGUAUAUCCGGUUUAAGAUCUGUGAUUUGUGUCUAUAGGUGUAAUUUUUGUUUAUUUAAGCCAGGUCAAUGUGCUGCUAAUAUCAAGGGGAUUAUGCGUUACUUUGUUAAAAGGAUUUACUGAGAAUACGGUAAUUGUAUUAAGGACUCGGAAGUAGGCUUAGUUUGUUGUAGUUAAUUCUUUAGGUCGAAUGUGAUUUUAGCUGGGGUACACACCGCCCGUCACCCAGGACGUUAGUCGUGGUAAGUCGUAACAUGGUAAUACUAGGGGAACCUGGUGUUAGUUAGCUUGAGGUUUAUUCUUUAAGGUUGA